Molecule: long non-coding RNA, 306 nt
Filed under: Homo sapiens (human)
Lineage: Eukaryota; Metazoa; Chordata; Mammalia; Primates; Hominidae
Description: HSALNT0348943
Source: RNAcentral
UGGAUUUUUAGCAUCUCCAUUUAUAUUAUAGAAAAUAACUCUUUGUGGAAUGAAGCUAGCUUAGCUGGGUCUUCCCCUUAGGAUCUCUGGAGGCUGAAAUCAAGGUGUUGCCUGAGGCUGAGAUCUCAUCUCACGCUCAGGGUCCUCUUCAAAGCUCCCUGGUUGUUGACAGAAUUCACUGCCUUGCAAUUGUAUGGUUGUUGACAGAAUUCACUGCCUUGCACUUGUAUGACAUGCCCUCAGCCCUUAGGGGCUACCCAGUGUUCCCUACCAGGUGGCCUUCUCCUUAGCAUAGCAGUUUGUUUU